AGGGAUUUAGCUCAGCGGCAUAAGCACCUGCCUUGCAAGCAGGUGGUCGUGAGUUCGAUCCCCAGUACCGA
RNAcentral lists this transfer RNA (71 nucleotides) under Cavia porcellus (domestic guinea pig). It matches the Rfam family "tRNA". Rfam says of the family: Transfer RNA (tRNA) molecules are approximately 80 nucleotides in length. The record is from Rfam by way of RNAcentral. Lineage: Eukaryota; Metazoa; Chordata; Mammalia; Rodentia; Caviidae.